GAGGGUUGAUAGGUUAAGAGCUAAUUGACUGGACGUUACCCACAGAAGAAGCACCGGCUAACUCCGUGCCAGCAGCCGCGGUAAUACGGAGGGUGCGAGCGUUAAUCGGAAUUACUGGGCGUGAAGGGUGCGUAGGUGGUUAAUUAAGUUAUCUGUGAAAUUCCUGGGCUCAACCUGGGGUGGUCAGAUAAUACUGGUUGACUUGAGUAUGGUAGAGGGUAGUGGAAUUUCCGGUGUAGCGGUGAAAUGCGUAGAGAUCGGAAAGAACACCGGUGGCGAAGGCGGCUACCUGGACUAAUACUGACACUGAGGCACGAAAGCGUGGGGAGCAAACAGGAUUAGAUACCCUGGUAGUCCACGCUGUAAACGAUGUCAACUAGCUGUUGGUUAUAUGAAUAUAAUGAGUGGCGCAGCAAACGCGAUAAGUUGACCA
This 433-nucleotide ribosomal RNA is filed under the name uncultured Legionella sp. RNAcentral describes it as "bacterial SSU rRNA". It matches the Rfam family "Bacterial small subunit ribosomal RNA", at positions 440 to 871 of the family's 1533-position model. The record is from RNAcentral. Lineage: Bacteria; Pseudomonadati; Pseudomonadota; Gammaproteobacteria; Legionellales; Legionellaceae.